AGCUAAAGGAGUGAAGGUGGUGUUUCUGGCUGGCUGAAGGGACUGCGGUACCUCUGAUAGAGUAGUUGCUGGCAGGGACUGGGGGAGUAAGAAGAAACUCCUGGCUGAGUGCUGGGACUUGGUAGCUGAAUCCCCUGAGAAUGUUUUGCAGGAGAACUAGAAUGUUCAUUUACAGAGGCUGCUGCCAUAUAUUUGGAAGUUCUCAGCAAGGGGUCCCUGGAAUCUGGGCCUAUGUUGGAAGGCACCUCAAAAUUUGUCAACAGGUUGAUUUCCUGGCAUCCUGACCAGGCUUGAUUCCUGCCAUCUGACUUGUGGUUCCCAUCCUCCAGUUUGUCUUCUGCCUCUGAACCUGCCUGAUUCAAGUUACCACCUUGUGGUUCUGAUCUCCAGUUUGUUUCUUGUUUCUGAUCUCCCAGCACCCUGACCCAGUCAACUCUUGACUCCUAUCUCAUGGCUGUGGAAUUUGACUCCAACUACUAAGUAUGGCUGCCUAUGACCUCGCCCUGCAACCAGUGCUAGAUUAAAUAAAAUGGAGAAAGAUAAUCUUUCUUACCCAAACCUACCAAAAGUGUAAAGAUAGUGGAGAUUAUACUGUUAGUUGUAAUGAAGUCAAGUGGUUUCUAAUAGAUGAGUUGAGAAAUGCACAGACAAAUUCAAAGUUGUUUAGUGUUACAUGAUGGUAUGGCCUUUCAACUGUCAAAGUCAAAGGCUUCCUUGGAGCUGAUAAAUAUUGGCAAUAUCUUGUCCGGUAAGUUUAACAUGGAAUACCAGAUGUGUAGUAGUUUGAAUGUUAUCACAGGCAACUCUUCAUCUUAUAAAGCUGGAUUAGGGAUGGUAGGAACUUGAUUUUCAUCUGUUGGGUGAAAACUGGA
Molecule: long non-coding RNA, 872 nt
Organism: Mauremys reevesii (Reeves's turtle)
Lineage: Eukaryota; Metazoa; Chordata; Testudines; Geoemydidae
Exons: 3
Source: RefSeq, a predicted model, not a curated record